ACCUGUAUGGCUUAGUCAGUAGAGCACAUGACUCUUGAUCUUAGGGUUGUGAGUUCAAGCCCCAUUAUAGGCA
RNAcentral lists this transfer RNA (73 nucleotides) under Mustela putorius furo (domestic ferret). It matches the Rfam family "tRNA". From Rfam's summary of the family: Transfer RNA (tRNA) molecules are approximately 80 nucleotides in length. Their secondary structure includes four short double-helical elements and three loops (D, anti-codon, and T loops). Further hydrogen bonds mediate the characteristic L-shaped molecular structure. tRNAs have two regions of fundamental functional importance: the anti-codon, which is responsible for specific mRNA codon recognition, and the 3' end, to which the tRNAs corresponding amino acid is attached (by aminoacyl-tRNA synthetases). tRNAs cope with the degeneracy of the genetic code in two manners: having more than one tRNA (with a specific anti-codon) for a particular amino acid; and 'wobble' base-pairing, i.e. permitting non-standard base-pairing at the 3rd anti-codon position. The record is from Rfam by way of RNAcentral. Lineage: Eukaryota; Metazoa; Chordata; Mammalia; Carnivora; Mustelidae.